GUAGGGUGCGAGCGUUGUCCGGAAUUAUUGGGCGUAAAGAGCUUGUAGGCGGUUUGUCGCGUCUGCUGUGAAAAUCCGGGGCUCAACCCGGACUUGCAGUGGGUACGGGCAGGCUAGAGUCGGAGGAGGGAGAUGGAAUUCCUGGUGUAGCGGUGAAAUGCGCAGAUAUCAGGAGGAACACCGAUGGCGAAGGCAGGCUC
RNAcentral lists this ribosomal RNA (200 nucleotides) under uncultured bacterium. RNAcentral's name for it is "partial 16S ribosomal RNA". It matches the Rfam family "Bacterial small subunit ribosomal RNA", at positions 527 to 728 of the family's 1533-position model. The record is from RNAcentral.